GCGGCACCUGGGCGACGUUGCGCGCGCCGAUGCGGUCGAACUCCGCGCGGGCGAACUCGGUGGUGCACACCACCGUGUCGUA
RNAcentral lists this transfer RNA (82 nucleotides) under Actinokineospora fastidiosa. RNAcentral's name for it is "tRNA-Phe". The record is from RNAcentral. Lineage: Bacteria; Bacillati; Actinomycetota; Actinomycetes; Pseudonocardiales; Pseudonocardiaceae.